Molecule: transfer RNA, 66 nt
Filed under: Enallagma cyathigerum
Lineage: Eukaryota; Metazoa; Arthropoda; Insecta; Odonata; Coenagrionidae
Description: tRNA-Asn
Rfam family: tRNA
About the family: Transfer RNA (tRNA) molecules are approximately 80 nucleotides in length. Their secondary structure includes four short double-helical elements and three loops (D, anti-codon, and T loops).
Source: RNAcentral
UUAACUGAAGCCAAAGGAGAGGCAUAUCACUGUUAAUGAUAAGACUGAAUUAAAUUCCAGUUAAGA